Molecule: small RNA, 2638 nt
Filed under: Arabidopsis thaliana (thale cress)
Lineage: Eukaryota; Viridiplantae; Streptophyta; Magnoliopsida; Brassicales; Brassicaceae
Description: ATSL170770
Source: RNAcentral
AAUAUUUUAUUUUUUGGUAUAUAUAAUAUUAGCUCCUGGUAAAAUAAAUGGCUAGAUCCGCCAUUGGGUGCAUGGAUUUAUACGUUAACGUGAUCAAUCAUAUAUUGGUUUGCAUUACAAAAUUAUAUUCUGAGAAAAGUUGAUAAUGUUGGGCUGAGAUAACUAGUACAACUAUUGCAACGAACUCUUUAAUUUUAUGUUUGUGUAUGAAUUUUCUGGAAAUUGAUGAUGAGGAACAACAAAUGCAGCCACAAGGAUGUUCUUUGGUCCAAGCGAAUACCAAAAGACGUGUAAGGUAGGGACGAGAUGCACUGUGCAGCAGACAGUGAAGUAUUUGGAGGGGUUUAAAGAAGAUUUGCCAUGGUUCAAAGCGCAUUCACAGUUUAGGCAUGUAUUCCACAUGCCUGAGGAGAAAAACCACAUGACUCAAGGCAUGUGGAUGCUUUUGCUUCGCACAUCACAGACAGAGAUGGAUAGAAAGUGCUGGUUUGUGGUGAAUGGAGUGCCUAUUAGGUACUCCAUUAAAGAGCAUGCGCUCUUCUGUGGUUUUGAGUGUUAUGAGUACCCUAAGGAGUUCUAGCCCAGUAUGAUUAUCAAAAAAGAUGUUUAAAAAUGUAUCAAGGAUUAAAAUCAUAUAUGUUGAAAAGAAGCUGAAUGAAAUGAAUGAUUGUGGAGAAAGGAAGAAGGCAGAUAGAAAGAAGUUAUCUAUUUUGCUAUUUUUGUGCAAGGUGAUUGUUGCAAAGUCAAAGGUUGAUGGUAACAUUGAUCGUUUCUUGCUGAAAAUUAUUGAUGAUGUGCAUGCAUGCGAGACAUUUCCAUGGGAUCGUUUCACAUUUGAUGGAUGUAUGGAAGGGAUUAAGUCGAUAAUAAACAACAUGAAUGGGAAAGCAAAAGUGGAGACAUGUUUCUCUGGAUUUAUUUUUCCAUUAGAGGUAACAAUUUAUAGUAUUCUAUAUGAUGAAAUGCAUUAUUAGACUUAAAAAUAAUAGUUAUGUGACGUUUACAUUGAAUGUGUAGAUUUUAUCAUUUGAGGCUAUCCUAUAGUUGGGACAAAAGUUUAGAGACCCUAUAAGGUUCGAGAAUGAGUGUCCGAGAAUGUGUAAUAGUAAAUUCUCUAAUAGUGUCAUGAAAGAGUUCUCAUUGGAAGAGAUAAUUGAGGAGCUUGGAAGUGUAAAUGUAAGAUUUGUGAAUUAUAUCUUAUUAUAUGUGACUAUGUGCUUGAAUAUAAUUAUUUUGAUGUUUGAAUUUUUAUAGGAUAUCUCUAGCAUUUUUGAACCGGAUGACGAAGAGAAAUAUUUGUUGAGACGCAUUGUAGAUGGUAAUGUUGUUGAUGAUGGGAUAAGUUUUGUUGAUCCAGUUGUUGAUAGUUGGAGAACCUGUUUAAUCAAAAAGAGGAAGAAAAUAUGGUGGAAGGACUUGUUUGACGAAGAUGUGCGUUCUCGAAGCGGUGAGCCAACGGAGGAACAUGUCUCAAAAAAUGGUCCGGACAUUAGCACUUUGAGAGAAGCAAUUGAUGCAGGCUUUAAGCAAGUUGUGGAGAUGUUAGGAGAAUACAAUCAAAUGCUUAUAACCACUGUAAGAAGACAAGUUGGUGAGAAUGUACCUCCAUUUAACGAGAAUGUGAAUUCCGAUGUGAAUGUGGAGAAGGAAGAUGGUGAGAAUGUUCUACCAUUUGAGGAGAAUGUGAAUUCCGAUGUGAAUGUGGAGAAGGAAGAUGGUGAGAGACAUCCACCAUAUGAAGAUAAUGUAAAUGUGGAGAAGGAUGUUGGUGAGAGUGUUCUACCAUUUGAGGAGAAUGUGUAUAUGGAGAAGGAAAUUGGUGAAAAUGUGUCACUAUUUGAGGAUGUUGGUCCAAAUGUAGUGAAAAAAUGCACUGACAUGGUUCUUUAUGUUAGAGGCUCUCCAAAAGGUAUAUUCUUAUGUCAAUCUUUGAUCGUUUUUAAUAUUUGAUGUUUGUUGGUAUCAAUGGUUCUGUUUUCUUUUGAAGGACAUGUUCAAGAUGAGACCGAAGGUAAUAAAGCUACUGAAGCGGAUAUUUGUGUUGAUGAGACGCAAGGCGAUGAUGAGACGCCGAAGAAGGAAAACUAGAAGAAAGGGAAGUAGGGUAAAGGGAAGUGUAAUGAUAAGAAGAAUGACAAGAAAAAAAGAGAUGAGGAUGAGAACGAGGGUGAGGGUGGCAAAAAACCAGAGAAGAAGCGUAAACAGAACCCAUCGAGAUUCCACAAGCCACCUUAUACCACAGAGAGAAUGCGAGGGACCAUUGGUCCUGUUUAUGUUUGGAGAAAAAUGGAUGAAACACUUGCGUCAUUGUUUUUGUGUGAACGGUUUAUUUAUGUAUUUCAUGAUGUAUGUUUUUUGGGAUGAUUGAUCUUGUUGUUUGGGAUUUAUGGUAUUUAUUUAUGUGAAUACUACACUACAAAAAAAGUUUAGUUUACAUCAUUUUUUUCUUAAUAUUUGUAUUAGUUGUAAAUGAUGUAAAAGACUUUCACAUCACUAACAUAAAUGAUUCGGAUAGUGAUGAUACAAAUAAUUUACAUCAGUUAAUUAACAACUGAUGUCAAUAUACAAAAUAUUUACAUCGAUUAUUGUAAUUAAUGUGAAUAUGUAUCAGUUGCAGAAAAUGAUGUUAAUUUUCAAU